UAGUCCACGCCCUAAACGAUGCUAACUCGAUGUUUGGGUCUUGUACUUGAGCAUCUUAGGGAAACCGUUAAGUUAGCCACCUGGGGAGUACGUUCGCAAGAAUGAAACUCAAAGGAAUUGACGGGGGCCCGCACAAGCGGUGGAGCAUGUGGUUUAAUUCGAUGAUACGCGAGGAACCUUACCAGGGCUUAAAUGCAUAUUGACAGGGCUAGAGAUAGCUUUUCCUUCGGGCAAUUUGCAAGGUGCUGCAUGGUUGUCGUCAGCUCGUGCCGUGAGGUGUCAGGUUAAGUCCUAUAACGAGCGCAACCCCUGUUGUUAGUUGCCAGCGAGUCAUGUCGGGAACUCUAACAAGACUGCCAGUGCAAACUGUGAGGAAGGUGGGGAUGACGUCAAAUCAUCACGGCCCUUACGUCCUGGGCUACACACGUGCUACAAUGGUAGGGACAGAGAGCAGCCACUGGGCGACCAGGAGCGAAUCUAUAAACCCUAUCACAGUUCGGAUCGG
RNAcentral lists this ribosomal RNA (505 nucleotides) under uncultured bacterium. RNAcentral's name for it is "bacterial SSU rRNA". It matches the Rfam family "Bacterial small subunit ribosomal RNA", at positions 791 to 1301 of the family's 1533-position model. The record is from RNAcentral.